GGGUGAGUAACGCGUGGGAAUCUACCCAUCCCUACGGGAUAGCUCCGGGAAACUGGAGAUAAUACCGUAUACGUCCUCCGGGAGAAAGAUUUAUCGGGGAUGGAUGAGCCCGCGUUGGAUUAGCUAGUUGGUGGGGUAAUGGCCUACCAAGGCGACGAUCCAUAGCUGGUCUAAGAGGAUGAUCAGCCACAUUGGGACUGAGACACGGCCCAAACUCCUACGGGAGGCAGCAGUGGGGAAUAUUGGACAAUGGGCGCAAGCCUGAUCCAGCCAUGCCGCGUGAGUGAUGAAGGCCCUAGGGUUGUAAAGCUCUUUCAGUGGGGACGAUAAUGACGGUACCCACAGAAGAAGCCCCGGCUAACUUCGUGCCAGCAGCCGCGGUAAUACGAAGGGGGCUAGCGUUGUCCGGAAUUACUGGGCGUAAAGAGUUCGUAGGCGGUUUGUCGCGUCGUUUGUGAAAACCCGGGGCUCAACUUCGGGCUUGCAGGCGAUACGGGCAGACUUGAGUGUUUCAGGGGAGACUGGAAUUCCUGGUGUAGCGGUGAAAUGCGCAGAUAUUGGGAGGAACACCGGUGGCGAAGGCGGGUCUCUGGGAAACAACUGACGCUGAGGAACGAAAGCGUGGGUAGCAAACAGGAUUAGAUACCCUGGUAGUCCACGCCGUAAACGGUGGGCGCUAGGUGUGGGUUCCUUCCACGGAAUCUGUGCCGUAGCUAACGCAUUAAGCGCCCCGCCUGGGGAGUACGGCCGCAAGGCUAAAACUCAAAGGAAUUGACGGGGGCCCGCACAAGCGGCGGAGCAUGUGGAUUAAUUCGAUGCAACGCGAAGAACCUUACCUGGGUUUGACAUACACCGGAAAGCUGUAGAGAUACG
RNAcentral lists this ribosomal RNA (873 nucleotides) under uncultured Rhodococcus sp. Its description in RNAcentral is "bacterial SSU rRNA". It matches the Rfam family "Bacterial small subunit ribosomal RNA", at positions 104 to 1010 of the family's 1533-position model. The record is from RNAcentral. Lineage: Bacteria; Bacillati; Actinomycetota; Actinomycetes; Mycobacteriales; Nocardiaceae.